Molecule: long non-coding RNA, 212 nt
Organism: Lampris incognitus (smalleye Pacific opah)
Lineage: Eukaryota; Metazoa; Chordata; Actinopteri; Lampriformes; Lampridae
Exons: 3
Source: RefSeq, a predicted model, not a curated record
UGGCAAGGUUUUUGCCCACUGGACAGAGCAGUCCAAAGCUCUACUGAGAGGUGACCUGUCUCCUGUCUUCAGGCUCCCAAGACUCCGGAAACGGACGUUUUCGGAAGUCGUCCAGGAACAUAACAAGGGCUUAGAACCAGAAGGGGGAGGUUCCUUUACAUUACUUGAUGACCACUACAGCAAAGAUGGCAAAACGUGCAAGAGAAGCCCGC